UCUUCUUUAUAGAAUGAUUUGUCCCAUAAGUUUUCUGACCUUGUGUCAGGACCUACGGGCUAAGGGACAAUCUCAAGUAGAGAGUUUCUAUGAGGCGUAGGCCUCCCAAAUGGUAACGGAGGCAUGCAAAGGUUUUCUCGGGUCGGACAGAGAUCGACCCUCGAGUGCAAAGGCAGAAAUAUUUUUUAUAAGAUUUUAAUUCAAAUUAGCGACGAAAACCUAUUGGUAAUCAUCAACGGACAUAAUUCGUAGCUAAUUUGCAAUGAAAAAAA
Molecule: ribosomal RNA, 272 nt
Filed under: Olea europaea subsp. europaea
Lineage: Eukaryota; Viridiplantae; Streptophyta; Magnoliopsida; Lamiales; Oleaceae
Description: Bacterial large subunit ribosomal RNA
Rfam family: Bacterial large subunit ribosomal RNA
Source: Rfam by way of RNAcentral